GAAAUAACAAUCUCAAAGAUUAAUUGAACUAAGUGAUGGAAGUUCUCUCUUAUCGGGUGGUUUCCCAGGGGCAUAAGCCUAUCAUGGGUUGAUCCCUAUUUAUGUGUUUAUGGGUUGUAUCCCAGGGGCAUAAGCCUAUCAUGGGUCGAUCCCAUUUGAUAUGUACUGGAGGCAGCCUAAUGGUCACAGUACAGUACAGUAAUGAUUACAAAGAUGAUAAG
This 221-nucleotide long non-coding RNA is filed under the name Capsicum annuum. RNAcentral describes it as "long non-coding RNA (CANN_LNC008016)". The record is from RNAcentral. Lineage: Eukaryota; Viridiplantae; Streptophyta; Magnoliopsida; Solanales; Solanaceae.